This 86-nucleotide transfer RNA is filed under the name Fusarium lateritium. RNAcentral describes it as "tRNA-Gly". It matches the Rfam family "tRNA". Rfam says of the family: Transfer RNA (tRNA) molecules are approximately 80 nucleotides in length. Lineage: Eukaryota; Fungi; Ascomycota; Sordariomycetes; Hypocreales; Nectriaceae. The record is from RNAcentral. RNAcentral also lists the same sequence under 1 other name.
GCGUAAUUGGUUUAGUGGUAAAAUUCUCCGUUGCCAGUCACGUGACUUAAAUCGGGGAGCCCUGGGUUCGAUUCCCAGAUUACGCA